GACCUAGGGAGUCUGAGGCAUUAUGGAAUUUCUCUAUGCACUCGUUAAAUUCACAGCUACCUGAUUUCCUUCAUUUUCAGGCCUGAACAUCUGUAAUAAUCUAAAUAGCCUUUUUCCUGCUAACAAUCAGCUCAGAAGCACUCUCACUUUCUGACAGCAUCAAAGACACUUGAGUCAUUGAACCGCAUCUCACCAGGGCGUCAGGGAUGGUUGGCUUAUCUGGAUUCUGGAUGCUUUUUCCAUCUGCAGCAGCAGCUCCUUCCGACCACAUGACCUUGAGUGAGUUGUUUAACACCCUCCUGAACCUGAGUUUUAUCACCUUCUGAUCGAACUAAGGUCACAUCACGCAUCUUCCCAGGCUCUUCUGAACAUCCAGAUUAGCUAAUACCAAAGACAUCACUUGGAAGCCAGAAAGCUCCCUCCAGUGUAUUAAUAACUUAGAUCCUCCCGGCUGAUGAGAAUAGUAGGACCACAGUGAAUCACAUGUGGCCCCAGGAGCUGGCUUUCAAGGUCAAUUCUCAGGUAUCUUUUGUAGCAUUUAAAAAUGAGUGACAUGCAAAAGCAUUAGGGGUUUUCUUAACAAGGUUAUUCAUUUUCUCCGAGCUUCUCUUAUGUUGCCCCCAAAUUCAAGUAGUAUUGUCAACAUGGCACAUUAUUACGGUUUCUUUGACAUAGAUAAAUUUGGGGGAAAAAACAGUGGUAAAAAAUUUCACAUACAAUUAACAGUCUGCUUUCUGAAGAGGAUUGUCUGCUCAACUGUAGGGGUUUUGGUUUUUCUGUUUGGGCCAUGGAAACAUUGCCUUCAAAUAAAUAUCGAGCAAUUAUUCAUAGGGGGCGUCCCAUGUGGCUCAGUGGUAAAAAAUCCGCCUGCCAAUGCUGGAGCCACAGGAGAUACAGGUUCGAUCCCUGGGUCAGGAAGAUCUCCUGGAGAAGGAAAUGGCAACUCACUCCAGUAUUCUUGCCUGGAGAAUCCCACGGACAGAGGAGCCUGGCGGUCUACAGUCCAUGGGGUCCCAAAGAGUUGGACACGGCUGAGUGACUAAACAACAACAAAGCCAGUCUCCCCAUCUGCAGGAUGAAGGUAGGAGAAGAACUUCCAGGCAGGGUUGCCGUGAGAAUUAAGGAAGUUGAUGAAGAAAAGUGAAAGUGCCACUAUGCUAUUAUUGUCGUUGCUGUUACUGUAAGCAGCAGCAGCUGCAGCUUAUACUAGGCUAAUUCUCCUUCCUAAGAGCCUCCAUGGAAGGAAGAUGGUCCUGCGAACUCCAAGAGGUCACAGCUCUGGUCUCCAGCAGCUCUGGGCAUUCACGCAGUCGGGACUUUUCCCCAGGGUUUCAUCCCACGCCCAAGAUUCUCAUUGAAGUCUAGAAAGUCAUGAAGUUGCUGCUGAGGAUGGGUGUGUGUGAUGGUUUCCUGUCUCCGAAGAAAUGGAAAUGGGGCUAAACAGAGAGUUUCAUCCUUGCAAAAUGAGAAGCGGCUUCUUGGACGGUGAGGGACCAGGAUAAAGAUGCAUCCCGUGGGCUUCUUGAGUCUGUUCCUGUCACGCAUCAGAGCCACGGUGGUGACGGUCAGGGUCCUGCUGGGCCUGGGGGCUUCGGCAUCACUGGCGCUGGAUCAGCCAUCCAAUCUUCCAAACGUAAAAGCCACGGCUGCUUUACAAGGUCCCGUUCAUACUUGGGCAUGUCCAUGGGAACACCGAAAUCAAGUUCCUGCGGCUGAGGUUCCUGCUGAAAGAACAAGGCACGGCGAUGGCCAUGGUCCCUCAGGUACAGCAUCCCCCCAUGGCCUCCUGGUCUAAGAUGGCAUCCUCCCCAUUGAGCUCCUGGGAGGUCCUGAACACGAGGAUGGAGUUGUAAACCUUCAGGGCUGGAUCCAGCUCGAUCUUCAUCCACCUGGAUAAUGUCCGUCUGUUAGCAGCAGGAAGACUCUGCCAUCGAUGUGCUGUCAGUAAAUAAAUGCUCACAAAUAAACACAGCCUGCUCCUCCAGUCUGUUUGCCCCCCUCCAACCCCCCCCCCCC
Long non-coding RNA from Bos taurus (domestic cattle), 2016 nucleotides. The record is from Ensembl. Lineage: Eukaryota; Metazoa; Chordata; Mammalia; Artiodactyla; Bovidae.